Molecule: long non-coding RNA, 480 nt
Organism: Canis lupus familiaris (dog)
Lineage: Eukaryota; Metazoa; Chordata; Mammalia; Carnivora; Canidae
Exons: 3
Source: RefSeq, a predicted model, not a curated record
UCACUGCUUCAGCAUCCACUGACUUUCGAUCCUAAAACAACCCUAAAGUGGUGGCUGUUUCUUCCCGUCUGCAGCUCAUGAUUUACCCACGCAGCCACUUAAAACUCGGAGGCACAGACCCUCGCUGUACCACCGGUUACAAAAUCAUAAGCAGCUUCGCCUCGGUCCGCAGGGGAAGGAUGAGUGCCCGGCGCCACUAAGUAUACAUGCUGCUGAAGCAAGCACUACAUGAGGCUUUUUAAAAGCUACACAGGAAACCCCGACCCAAUAAUGAAAAACGUUUGACUACAUGCAAAAUCCUGUAUGGCAAAAAUGCUGUAAACCAUGCCAAAGAUAAGAGACAGGCCAGGUCCAAGGACUACGAGGAGGCCCCACAAGACCAGCCAAGAGGAUCCUUGGCUUUGUGCAGGAAAGAAAUCGGAACUGGGAGGUAAAAGCAGUUUAUUGAAUAGUGUAAAUAACAGAGUAUAGCAGGCAGAG